CAGUUGACCGAAGAUCUCAUCUCAGCCUAGCACAAAGGCAUCACUCGGGUCCGCACCAAGUAGUAGCAACAACAGUAGUAAAUGAGAAGGUUGUCUAACCUUAGUAAUGACUGUCCUGACAAAAGACCUCGAGUUGCCCCUACUCCUGCCUUGCCCCCACCCACUAAAAAGUUUACUCGACUUGCUUAACCAUGCAAGCAUUAUGGAUGCUUCCAUGGUGAUCAACCCUGCUGGUGUCUAAAUAACGUCUACUACAAGUGUGGGAGCACCCAACACUUUAUGAAGGAUUUUCCCCGGAGACCUAAGGAUAUCCCCUAACCAAUUGUCCAAGGGCGUGUCUACCACCUUGACAAGCCUAGUGCCCCUACUACUUCUACCAUAAUUCAGGGUAUAUUUUUUAU
This 401-nucleotide long non-coding RNA is filed under the name Carica papaya (papaya). Its description in RNAcentral is "long non-coding RNA (CPAP_LNC000814)". Lineage: Eukaryota; Viridiplantae; Streptophyta; Magnoliopsida; Brassicales; Caricaceae. The record is from RNAcentral.